This is a long non-coding RNA of Hemicordylus capensis (graceful crag lizard), 4141 nucleotides long. RefSeq lists it as uncharacterized. The transcript has 2 exons. The record is from RefSeq and is a predicted model, not a curated record. NCBI's taxonomy places the organism in Eukaryota, Metazoa, Chordata, Lepidosauria, Squamata, Cordylidae.
AUUAGGUAACAAGCAGGUACAAGGUGAAACUACCUCUGCACAAAUGAAACAUGGGCUCUUUUGCUACUUACCAGGAACAUUCCCUAUUUUCUGGAAUCUGUCCCUGGUAAAUCACUGUCCCCAUUUUGUCCUUAUUUUUACCUCCUAGGGAUGCCUUGCUCAAUUUUUCUUUUCUUCACUUGAGGUUUUCAGGGUUCAGUUCUCUCCCCAGAGUCUAUAGAAAUUAAACUUCCAAUUGGAUGGGUGGAUGAAUCAUGUCUCUAGUGAACUUGCAUGUAAAUGGGUGCACAACAUUAAGGCACUAUGUAGUGCAGAGUAUAUAAGAGGCAAAAUCCAAUCUUCAGCAAUCUGUAAUAGUGGGAGGGCUGCAUUUCAUUCUGACCCCUCCACCCAUGAACAUCACCGUUUAAGGGUGCAACGAACAUCUCAAAUUGGGUUUCCAAGGAAAUGCUUCAAAAAUGAAUGUUUUCAUAUCCCUCCCAGAAACAUGGGAAUCUGCUAAAAAAAACCCUCUACCAAAGUUUUGUGCUAGUUUGUGCCAUUUUUUUUGCCACAAACCCCAUGUUUUGAACUGCCUCAUUUAAUGGACAUCUCAGAUUAAAUAAGGCAGUGCAAAAUUUAAAGUGAACACAAAAUGAAAAUGAACACAAAACUCUGGUAAAGGUUUUGAGGGGAUCCCCAUGCGGAUAGGAGGGAAUAUGAACAUAUUACUUUUGGGGGGGGCGUAUUCCUUUGGAACCCCAAUUUGAAAUGUCCAGUACACCAUUAAACGAGGUGGCACAAAACCCGGAGUUUGUGGCACAAAAUUAGCACAAAACUUUGGUAGCGGUUUUGAGAGGAUAUGACAAUGUUCAUUUGAGGGUGGGUCAGGAGGAAAUGCAUCUUGUUUGUCCAGUAAUUUUUAGUAUGAGAAUUGUUUGUUACAAGUGUAUUUUAAUCUGCAAAACAUUAGGGAGUAUGAGUUUGGUUCAUCAGCUUGGUAAUCUGAAAUAAUGUGUUCUGCAUUCACUUUAUUUCCUGCUUUCCAUUUGAGGCAUGGAAAAAAGAAUUGUCUGUCACACUUCCCAAACUGCUUGGCCAGUUCCCUUCAUAUUGAACAUUACACUUCCUAGCUUGCUUGGCACAUUCACAAACAUGUCCCUGUUUUUAUCAGUGAUACACUGGAUGGUUUGAUAAAAAGUCACUGUCGGUAUUAGGGCUGAACUGAAUAGUUGGGUGGGGGUAGGACUGAAUUUUAAAUUAAAACCACCAAUCAAGUAAAACUUUUCAUUGAAGCAGUAUGUACUUCCAGCCAAGGAGGGCAACGGGGUGGCAGGGAGAUACGCUGCCACCCUAAAGACUUUUAACUGCAAUGGGCGCCAGUGGGGGGAAAGCAGCAGGAGGGGUAAGUACACCCUCCCCCACCCUUAAAGAGGCACUCCCGCCACCUUUGAACCGCCCAGCUCUGUGCACAUCCCUAGUGAAUAGCAGUGAAGAGAGUUCUACUAUUCUUCUCCCCCUUGCAUGUUUCACAUUUCUGAUUGUAUACAGAUGUAUGCCAAAAGUCUCAACACUUGACAUGAAGUUACUGCCAACACUCUUAUAUAAUGGAUGCAUAUAUUACACAGGCAGGGGAGUUCCUGUGUGUUAUAGGGGAGAGGUAAAACAGCAUUCUGUAACCCAACCAGCCCCCCCACCCAAACACCCAAUACUCUGUGGCUUCUCAAAGCUUUCUGCUACCACUAUUGGUGCCUGAAGGGGCAUUGUUACACUCAGAAUCGCCUACUCAACAACGAUGCCAGUUUUUAAAAUCAAAUCCAUGGAAUAAUGGCAAAGUUAUGAAGAAUAAAAGCUGAAAGGAAAUUUGUCAUUGUUGAAAAACAGACAUGACACCUUGUGACUGCAGCUAGGUCUCCCCCCCCCACACCCACACCCACACCCACCAUAUUUAUAAUGGGUAUCUUUUGCCUUGACUAAGGAAGCACAAAUUUACUUAAUUGCUUUAGGAAAGGUCUCUUCAAAUGGCCUGUGUCAUGUACUGUGUGCUUUCAUUGUUUAGUCAAAAUAAAGAUGUUUGAAAUUUCUGCAAAUUACAGACAAAGAGGGGCCCAAAACAUCAAGUGAGGAGUAUGCUCAAAUCACUCAGAAUAUUCGAGAGGAGAAAAGGGAAGGAGGGAGGGGGAGUGGGCAGAGAAGGGAGGGGCAAGUGCACAGCUUCUGCCCUGAUUGCCCAGAAAACAGCUGUGCAGGGGAGCUUUGUUUUUGCUCCUUCUCCGAAGAAAUCGAAAUGUCUAGAAAGGAUAACCAUUACAGCUGAAUGGUAUAACUGAUGUAUCUGAGGAAAACAGGCCUCAUUGUUGGUUCAUUUUACCUCAGAACUGGUAGGCCUCAGUGCUCCUGUAUGGUUUUAAAUACCUUCUAACCUCAUUCCUCAUAAUGGGGAAGGGCUGUUGAGUUCCUUGUAAGGGCCAGAGGGAGCAGGACAUUUAACAGUUGUGUGGCAGGCAGAAAUUUAACAGGUGCAACUUUGGUUAGCACAGGAGGGUGCAAGCAGCACCUGCUGAUAUUCUCCCUUUACUUCAAGCUCCUUGGCAGCCAUGUGUGCGCACACACGUCGAUAUGACACUUACCAGGGCUGCAGGGAGGUACACUCUAGUCUCGCACCAGUGGUUUUAAGGAGAGCGUUGGUGGGGGGAAAGCAGCAGGGAAGGUAAGGGCACCCUCCCUGCUCCUUAACCCCGCCUGCCUCCUGAGAGUGCACGAAUCAGUUCAUGCACAUCCCUAUUGAUAAAUGACUGAAUGUAUUCACUCUCUGCAUCUGAGAAGCAUAUGAGAGGCAGCAUGGUGUAGUGGUUAGACUAGGACCGGGGAGACCUGGGUUCAAAUCCCCAUUCAGCCAUGAUACUAGCUGGGUGACUCUGGGCCAGUCACUUCUCUCUCAGCCUAACCUACUUCACAGGGUUGUUGUGAGGAGAAACUCAAGUAUGUAGUAUACCACUCUGGGCCCCUUGGAGGAAGAGCAGGAUAUAAAUGUAAUAAUGAUGAUGAUGAUGAUGAUGAUGAUGAUGAACUUGUAUCACUAUAAUGGAGAAUAUACUCAAAAAUUAUUUCACUGUAGAUUUUUGAUGAAAAUGAGAAAUAUAUUGAUUAAAAACUGAAUUUUUGUAUCACAGUACAGUGAUGGCACACUCCUAUUCCAGCCAACUUCAAAAAGCUAUUGAUUACAUUGUAAGGAAGCACACAUUUAUCAUUUGAUUCAUGCCCAGCCUGUUUCCUUCACUCCUCGCAUUAUUUUCUGUUCAGCACAUUUCUGUUUUUUAAGGGUGUUCCUUUCUAUGAAUAUCUGAGUAAUACAAAUUGAUGUGAUUUAUGAAAAACUAUAAUAAAUAUGAUGUAAUUCUAAUAUAAGCAAUUAUAUAAUUGCAGAGAGAGAGAGAGAGAGAGAGAGAGAGAGAGAGAGAGAGAGAGAGUAAAAUUAAAGUUUGCAGGCUAGCACCAGAGAAGCAACAGAUUCUGGAUUCUUCCUGCAGGGGGCAAUGUACUACAAUAAAAGGAAACAAUGAAAAUAAGCAAAGUAAUUUCUCCAGAUUACACAAUUAAUUUUUAUAGCUCAGAAGCAUAGUGUUUAACUAUCUCUCUUUUUAAUGUUUCGCAAUAUUGUAAUGGCUAUAAAGAAAAGAUACUAAAAUGUUUUUCCUUCUUUAUUUUAUAUUCAUGUUUUGAGAGAAACAACACUUAAGCAUCCAUUAAGCUUGUUAUUGACAGAAUGACUGGUGUUUCUAUGAGAAAAAAAGAUCAGAUCAGAUGGCAGAAGAUGGGAAUGAUUAAACGAUCAGACAUCACAAUUGAAUAGCCAUUCAAACAUUUGAAUGGUAGAAUACAAGCCAGUUCCUGAUGCCGAGAAGUUGUCGUAGAAGAUCCUGUCAGAUUUAAGGCCAAUUUCUGUAAACCACAAAGCUCCGAAGCAAUGGACACUGUGUCUUUCAUACCGUCCACUAUUAGCAUUGCUAAUUCUGCCAUUUGAUACUGUGUUCAAUUGAUCCCUGGACUGAAUGGUGUUAUGUUUACACAUUUUUUCCAUAUUAUGUUUUCUUUACCACCAUGUUCCAUUUUGCCAUGGGAGUUCAGACCUCUUGUGCUCAGCUAUAAAUAUUUGACCCCU